RNAcentral lists this unclassified non-coding RNA (252 nucleotides) under Itersonilia sp. RNAcentral's name for it is "partial contains 5.8S ribosomal RNA, internal transcribed spacer 2, and large subunit ribosomal RNA". The stretch from base 1 to 52 matches the Rfam family "5.8S ribosomal RNA", at positions 103 to 154 of the family's 154-position model. The record is from RNAcentral. Lineage: Eukaryota; Fungi; Basidiomycota; Tremellomycetes; Cystofilobasidiales; Mrakiaceae.
AACGCACCUUGCGCCCUCUGGUAUUCCGGAGGGCAUGCCUGUUUGAGUGUCAUGUAGACUCAACCACCUCGGGUUUCCGAAUUGGUUGGACUUGGGUGCUGCCGUCCGGCUCGCCUCAAAUGUGUUAGCGGGCUCUGAACCGAUACUGGCGUGAUAAGUUUCGCCAAGCAGAGGGGAUGACCGCUCAUAACCGCCCUCGGGCAAUCUUCUGACUCUGACCUCAAGUCAGGUAGGACUACCCGCUGAACUUAA